AAUUGCGAUAACAAAAUCCUAAUUCUAAUAGAAUACUAACAAUGCUCUAAUUAGACUAUAAUAAUGGUAAAUAAACAUAAUCAAAUUCAAAACAACUCAAAGAAAUUUCAAACAAACAAUAAAAUUCUUAAAGAAAUAUAAGAAUGAACACAAAUAUUACUCAAAUAUAUGUCAAUUCAACCUUAAUUUAAUUCUAGUUAAAACCCUAUUGAAUUUCACUCAAACUUUAGACCAAACCUAAUUAAAUCUUAACCCCUAAUAAAUCCUAAACACUAAGUCAAAUCCUAAACAAACCUUAAAUUAAACCCUAAAUCAAACCCUAUUUCAAACCCUAAACCCUAAACCAAACUCUAAAUCAAACCCUAAAUCAAACCCCAAAAAUCCUAAUCCAAACUCUAAUCCAACCUUAAAUCCUAAUUCAAACCCUAAACUCUAAACCAAACUCUAAUCCAACCCUAAAUCUUAAUCCAAAUCCUAAACCCUAAACCAAACCUUGAAUCAAAUCCUAAUCCAAAUCCUAAAUCAAACCCUAACCAAAUCCUAAACCCUAAUCCAAAUCCUAAAUCAAACCCUAACCAAAUCCUAAACCCUAAUCCAAAUCCUAAAUCAAACCUUAACCAAAUCCUAAACCCUAAUCCAAAUCCUAAUCCAAACCCUAAAUCAAACCCUAACCAAAUCCUAAAUCCUAACCUAAAUCCUAAUCCAAUCCUAAAUCCUAACCAAAUCCUAAAUCCUAAUCCAAACCCUAAUCCAAAUCCUAAAUCAAAUCCUAACCAAACUCUAAUCCAAAUCCUAAAUCAAACCCUAACCAAACUCUAAACCCUAAUCCAAAUCCUAAUCCAAACCCUAAUCCAAAUCCUAAACUCUAAAUCAAACUCUAAAUCGAACCCUAGCCAAACCCAAAUCCAAAUCCUAGUAAUUCCUAUGACAGAUUUAAACCUCAAUAUCUAAUGAAUAAACCGUUGAUCUCAAUUCAAAAUUUUCAUACUUCUUAAAAAUCAAGUUUAAAACAAGUACAAAAAAAUUUGAAAAGGAUCGGAGUUACCAAAUUAAUGAAAACCUCAAAAAUGUGUUCGGGUGUUAGACGGCCUCCUUCUCCAAUCUUGAUGCCAAUCUUCCAGAGCCAAUUUCUCUUCUUUGCAUUGUUUGAUUGGUUUCAAAUUUCUCAUAGAUAUAGAAAACCAAGUCUAAUACCCUCUCACAUAAGUUUUACUCCAAUCUAACUAGUGGAUUGCAUGAAAUCUUAAAAACCCUCACUAGACCUAAAAUUCUACUUUCUGAGACCUUGACCCGCUUAAAUCUCAAUAUCUCUUACUUCAACCGUUAGAUCGAGCUUAAAUUCACAAUAUGUAUUUAAAACAACUAUAAACAUAAACCCAAAAAAUUUCACCUGUAGAUCUGCAACAAAACUCUCGAAAUCACUCAAAACAUAAAUCCUAUUUUAUUUCAUAAAACCCAAGUUAUCUGAAACAAACCUCUACUUUGCAAAGUUCUUACAAAGUCAUAUCAACUUCAAAUCACCCAAAAUCAAUGCCCAUAGAAACCCUAUCAAUGGGUCUGAUUUCGACCCUGGUUCAUAACUCGUCCUCUCCAGGUAUAAACUUUCGUCUUCUUGAGGUAGUUUUUACUAAUUUACACUCCUAACUCCUCCCUACAUAUGUCUAUAUCCUUUAUUUUUCUAAUCUACCUUGUUUUGCCUUAUUUAUGGCCUUACAAAGUAAAUAGAAGCAUAAUUUGUAAAAAGGCAGUAUUAGCACUUUAAAUUUUUCUUUCCUUUUAUUAAUAUCUAUUUUUCUAAGAUAAUUUGCUACAAUAUUUUUGAAGUGAGAUCCUCAAAACAUGAUAUACUUCUUCAAUUUUUCUCCUACUAGUCAUAUUACAUCAUGACUAAUCAAUUUUAGAAACUUUUAUAACUUGUCAAGCAUCGUUUUAACAAUCUAUUUGUCACAGACAUACUCAUGUACGCUAGUAAUUACAUAUACAAAUAGGUAGAAGUAAGUAAAAGUAGGUAAAAGUAAGUUAAUUCUAUAGUAUUUAAUAUGUAAGCUUCCUAGAAGCUUCAUAGAUGUUGCUUUGACUUCAUAGGUGUCUUUAAUUGACUUUUUGGAUUAGAAACGUGGUCAACAAGUUGGCCAUGUGCCACACAUGUUGUUAGCUUGAAGAUCAAGCUAACUAUGUGGCCCACAUGUAAAAAAACUUGACUUAUAAGUCAAGGCAUGUGUCCUACAAAGUCAACACAUAUUGGAGGUCCUAUAGAACGUCGCCACGUAGCCUCUAAUAAGAUAGUAUAUAUAGAGACAAGAGUGAAGCCUUCUUUAUUCUUGUCAACUCCUUUCUUGCUUCUAGUCUAAUUUCAAGGGUCUCUAAUUUUCUUGUCUUUUGGCAAUAGCCAUUCUAGUUUCUCUUUCAAUAUACAUACUUAUUUAUUUAUAUUUUAUUACUUUUCUUUGAGUGAAGGCUCACUUAUUUGAAUUAUUUUUUCAUCGAGUUCUUGUCCUUGACAGAAUGACAAGAGUACACCUACAAUAUCAGAGCUUUGUCUAAUCUUGAUUAAGAGUGGAUUAUCCUUUUUUUUUAAUAAGAUAUAAGCAUAUUAGAAGUUGCGGAUUACCCUCUUCUAAACUGAUAUUGUCCUUAGUAUUUUCUUUGUUCUCAAGUCCUUUCUUCCAUUUGUCUUGAGCAAUAUUAAACAUCUUCUCUUUUCUAAGUGUUAUCAUGGCAGAACUUGUUGAAAUGAAGAAUGCAAUGGCACAAAUGCAAGAGCAAUUGAGGGAGUUAAUGCUUGCGACGCAUCAACUCAAUUUACCACCACAAGGUGCAAUAAGAUUGGCAAGAAGUAAAGAUAUAGAAAUGGUUGGAGUUGCUUCAAUAUCUGUACCAAACCAUGUCCUUUCUCCUAUGGUAGAACACCCUUUCAAUUUUAGAGAACCAAGAAUUACCCUACCCAAGAAGUUAGAUGGCACCAGAUCCAAGUUUCAAGGAUUUAUCAAUCAAGUGCAACUUGUGAUUGAACUUCAACCCCAAAGCCACUCACCUCUAGGAUCAUAAGUUAGAUUUAUUGGUACGCUUCUUUCAGAUUCAGCACUAUCGUGGUUUUUAUCUUUUCUUGAACAACGAGAUCCAAUAUUGGAUAAUCUGGAGGCUUUUUUGGCGGAGUUUCGAUCCAUGUAUGGAGAACAUGAUACAAUUCGUAUUGCAACCAAUAAGAUCCGUAUUUUAUGACAAGGCAAUCGAUGAGUAACGUUGUACGCUUCACAAUUUCGACAACUUGCAAUUGAUAUCAAGUGGAAUGAUGCUGCAUUUAUUAGCCAAUUUUUCUAUGGAUUACAAUAUGAGGUAAAAAAAUUAAUGCUCAACUUACUUGAUCCUCAAACAUUGAAUCAAGCAAUUGACUUUGCUGUGAAGUGCGACAAUCGCUUUUUUGAAUUUUGAUUUGAAAACCAUACAAGUGGACCUCAACGUUACUAUAAUUCAAUGGCAAUACUAACACCUCUUCAACACAUACAUUCGGAAGUAGAUGAUAUGCAAAUUGAUGCAGUACGUUUCAAACCUCUUACUGAGCAAGAAAAGACUUGUCGUCAUGAAAAAAGAUUAUGUUUAUAUUGUAGAGAACCAAAGCAUACUACUCAAUAUUGUCCAAAGAAAUGAUACAAUCACAAAAUGAGGAGUAUAGCUGCGAAAGAAGAUAAUAUGUCAGAAAACGAAUUUGUCUAGUUGCAAUAGGGACUGUGCGACUGGAACCUUACACAACAUCUAGUAAAGGUCCUAUUUUCUCCUCAGAGCCCUCUCCUUAUUUUACAUUAAAUAUUAUUUUAGGACCUAAACAUUACAAAGUCUCAACCUUGUUAGAUUCGGGAGCCUUAGCAUGUUUUUUAGAUGAAGAAUUUACUAAAAGACAUAGCAUAUCUUUAGUAAAGAAAACUAAACCUGUUCAUGUAGAAGUCAUAGAUGGUCGUCCAUUGUCUUCUGGAGAUACAACUUAUGAAAUCCUUCCUAUAGAAGUAAUAAUCAAUGGUCAUAAUAGCUUUUUAGUAUUUUAUAUCAUUAGAUCUCCCUCUAAUCCAGUCAUUUUAGGUUUAUCGUGGUUAGAAAAAUACAACCUUCAAAUAGAUUGGAUUUCUCAAACUCUUACUUUCUCUAAAAGUAUAACUAACAAUGUAAUUAAUCAAGUAGAGAUUCAUAAGUUCAAUUCAAUUAAAUCCAUAUUUAUAGGUGCAAAAGCUUUCUUGCAUACUGCUAUAAAAGAAUCACCAUAUAUUAUUUAUGCCACACGUAUUCCUACUAGUGAAAAGACUUCAAGUGGCAUUCCAAGCCAAUAUCAAGAAUUUCAAGAUAUAUUCGAAAAAAAGAAUGUGGAUACACUCCCGGAACAUCGUCCCUAUGAUUGCUCAAUUGACCUUUAAGAAGGAGCACAACCUCCAUUCAGACCAAUCUACAGUUUAUCACAAAAUGAGUUGACUGAACUCAAGGAUUAUAUUGAAGAAAAUCUAGCCAAAAAUUUCAUACUCCAUUCUAAAUCUUCGACAGGAGUUCCAAUUCUAUUUGUGAAGAAAAAAGAUGGAUCAUUGCGGAUGUGUGUUGAUUAUUGAUGACUCAACAAGAUUACCAUCAAGAACAAGUAUCCACUACCUUUAAUAUCUAGACUUCUUAAUCAGCUGAAUCAAGCUAAGAUCUAUACAAAAAUAGAUCUUUGGAGACCAUACAAUCUAGUACGCAUCAAAGAAGGAGAUGAAUAGAAGACAGCAUUUCGAACUAGGUAUGGACAUUUUAAAUACGUCAUGCUUUUUGGACUUACAAAUACACCAUUAACAUUCAACAUCUAAUGAAUGAUGUUUUUCGAGAGUUUUUGGAUGAUUUUGUGGUCUGUUAUCUAGACGACAUCUUGAUCUAUUCUAAGAAUCCAGAAGAACAUGAACUUCAUAUUCGUUGUGUCUAACAAAAAUUAAGAGAUGCAAGAUUCUAUGCCAAGAUAGAAAAGUGUAUAUUCCACACUACUCAAGUCGAUUUCUUAGGUUAUAUCAUUUCAAAUGAUGGACUUAUGAUGGAUCCUAAGAAAGUUCAAACUAUUAUAGAUUGGAAGAUCCCAAAAACGAUAAGAGAUGUCCAAUGUUUUUUGAGAUUUGCCAACUACUAUCGGAUCUUCAUCAUAGACUUCUCUCGAGUUGUAGGUCUACUUAUACAUUUGACUUGUAAAAACAAACUCCAAUGGAAUCAAGAAGCGGAAGUUGCUUUUGAAUCUUUGAAGACAGCAUUUGUUUCUGCACCAAUCUUGUAUCGUGUUGAUUUUUCCAAAGCAUUCUUUAUGGAAACCGAUGCAUCAGACUUUGCGCUGGAUGCAGUUUUAUCACAAAUGGGAACAGAUAACAAACUUCAUCCAGUAGCCUUUCAUUUAAAAAAAUUCUCAGUAGUAGAAAUUAAUUAUGAGAUCCAUGACAAAGAACUUCUUACAAUUGUGGAUUCUUUUCAAGAAUGGCAUCAUUAUCUAGAAGGCACUUUUAGUCCAGUCACUGUGUAUACAGAUCACAAGAAUCUCGAAUAUUUUAUGUCAGUACACAUUUUAAAUCAUCGUCAAGCUCAUUGAAACAUGUCAUUAUCAAGAUUCGAGUUCAUCAUCACUUAUCGGCCAACAAAACAACAAGGUUUGUCUGAUGCCUUGUCUAGACGUUCUUAUCUUACACCAAAAGAAGAAGAUGGAGCUUUUGAGCAACAAAGAACGGUUCUCUUGAAGCCGGAGCAAUUUCAUCUUCAAGCAAUAAAAUCAACAUUGACUGUUGAUUUAACUUUUCUUAAGCAAGUCGAGUUAAGUAUGUCUUCAGACCCUCUUGUUCAUGAUAUCAAGAAUAAUUCUUCUAAAUCUCAUGAUCCCUCUAAAUUUGAAUUCAAGAACAACCUACUCUAUUUUGAAGGAUGCCUAUAUGUUCCAAAAAGAGAAGCACGUUUACGUAUUCUUCAAGCUCGUCACGACUUCCUAGCAGCAUGACAUUUUGGAUAUAAUAAGACUUUCGAGUUGAUAUCUAGGGAUUUUUGGUGGCCUCAAAUUUGGAGGGCAGUCAAAGAUUUUGUACAAUCAUGUGAUGUUUGCUCAAGAUCAAAAACUCCUCGUCAUCGAUCUUUUGGACUUCUUCAGCCAUUAUCCAUUCCAGAACAACCAUGGUCUUCUAUUUCUAUGGACUUCAUCACGGAUCUUCCAAUCUCAGGUUCUUAUGAUUCUAUAUUCGUGAUAGUAGAUAUAGAGACAAGAAUGAAGCCUUCUUCACUCUUGUCAAUUUCUUUCUUGCUUCUAGUCUAGUUUCAAGGAUCUCUAGUUUUCUUGUCUUUUGGCAAUAGCCAUUCCAGUUUCUCUUUCAAUAUACAUACUUAUUUAUUUAUAUUUUGUUAUCUUUUUUUGAGUGAAGGCUCACUUGUCUGGAUUAUUUUUUCAUCGAGUUCUUGUCCUUGACACUAUUUCUAUACGUUAACAAUACAAAUAUGUUAUCUAUACCUUGUUAUAAUUAAUCUUCUUUUACUAAUAUGAAACGUCCUCGUUUUACUCUUGAUGGUAUUUCUAAAUUAUUUCUUGGCAAUAUAUAAGGUUUUAUGCAGGUUUUCAUAUUGUAUUGGAAAUGGAAUAACCUUUCUAAAGAACUUUGUAUUGAAGUUGUGGACAUCCACUACUAUUGCGAAGGUAGCAAUGCUCCAAAAUCCUAUCUAUUUUAUAUUCUUGUUGAUCAUGAAUUACAAAUGGUGGUGGUGGUAGAAGUGAUUGGUGUCUAUCCGAAAAGCACUUUGGUUUGGUAUGAAAUUCUUUCAAUUGUAAAAUAUGAAAGAUCGGAUGGGCCUAAAUAUGUGGCAAAAGCUCAAGAUAAUAUAUGACAUCAAAAAUAACUAUAGAAAUGUAGAAAGAUCUAAGCCACUGAGGUGUUAGUUUAUCGAUUUGAUUUGAUGUAAUAAGUGGCAAGUUGGCAUUGGAAAGUAAUACCUAAUCACCUUCUCAGAAGAUCUUGUGUUGUCAAUGUUGUGAUGUAAUAUGGCUAAUAGGUAAAAGAAUAUAAAAAUUAUUAUAUUAUAGAAGUUCUUAGUUCUAAAUAUUAUAACAAAUUAUCUUAUAAAUAUAGAUAAUAGUUAAAGGGGUAAUAAAACUAAAAAGUACUAAUAUAUCUUUUUACAAAAUGAACUUCUAUUUACUUUUUAGAACCAUAAAUUAAGAAAAAUUUAAAAAAUUAGAAAAUUAAAUGAUCUAGACAUAUAUAAGAAGGAAUUAAGAAUAGGUUUUAGCAAUAUUUACCUCAAGAAGCCAAGAAUUGAUACUUAGAGAGGACCAAUCGUCAACCUAGGUGAAAAUCAGACCUCGAGGUACAAAACUACACACCUACGACAAUUCUAGGAUUCUUUUGUAGAUCAAAGAGUGGAAUUUGAGAGCAAACUUAGUAAGGUUUUUAUAAGCAUUGAUUUUGUAUGAUUUCAAUUUGUAAUGACUUUGUAAGAGCUUUACAAAAUUAAGUUUUUUUUAGAUGAUUCGGAUUUUUGUGAAAUAAAAUAGGGUGGCAUUUUAGGCAAUUUCAGAAAUUUUGUUAUAAAUCUACAUGUAAAAUUUUGUGGAUUAAUGGUUAUAGCUGUGUUUAAUAUGUAUUAUAAAAUUUAGCUUUAUCUAAUAGUUGAAUUGAAGAUUAUUGAGGUUUAAGUAGGUUAAGAUCUCAAAAAGUAGAAUUUUAGGUCUAAUGAGGAUUUCUAAGAUUUCUUGUAAUCUAUCAAUUGGAUUGGAGUGAAAGUUAUGCGUGGAUAGUAGAUUUAUUUUUUUAUGUAUAUAAGAAUUUUGAGAUCAAUUGAAUGGUACAAAAGAGAGAUGUUAGGACUAUAAGAUCAGUAUUAAGAUUGGAGAAAGAGAUCGAUCAACAUCCAAGCAAAUUUUAGGAUUUUUCUUCCAUUUAGUAAGUACAAUUCUCUUUAAAUUUAUUUUACUUGUUUGUAACUAAAAAAUUGAGAGGUGUGUAAAAUUUUAAAUAAGAUUAAUGAUUUAAUUGAAAGAUAUUGAGAUUCUAAACUACUUUAGAGUUUGAUUUAAGGUUUAGGAUUUGGUUAGGAUUUAAUUUAGGAUUUAGGAUUUGAUUUAGGAUCUAAGAUUUGUUUAAGAUUUGAUUAAGAUUUGAUUAGGAUAUAAGAUUUGGUUAGGAUUUGAUUAGAGAUUAGUUUAGAGUUUAGAAUUUGGUUAGGAUUUGGUUUAGGAUUUAAGAUUUGGUUACGAUUUGAAUUAAAAUUUGGAGUUUGGUUAGGAUUUGGUUUAGGAUCUAUGAUUUAUCUAGGAUUUUAUUUAAGAUUUAAGAUUUGGUUAGGAUUUGGUUUAGGAUUUAGGAUUUAGAAUUUGGUUAGAAUUUCAUUAGAGUUUGAAAUUUGUCUAGGAUUUGAUUAGGAUUUGAUUUAGAAUUUAGGAUUUUUUUAGAGUUUGGUUUAGGAUUUAGGAUUUAAUUAAGAAUUGGCAUAGGAUUUGAUUGAAAUCUAUUAGGAUUUUAAUUAGAAUUAAAUUAUGAUUUAAUUGAGAUUUAUUUAAGAUAUAUUUGUGAUUAUUCUAAGAUUUCUUUAGGAUUUCUUAAAGAUUUUUUUAAAAUUUAUUGUGGAUUUCUUUUAAACUCUUUUAAGAUUUCUUAUUGUUUCAUUUGUAAUUUCUUUAAGGUUCUUUUGAAUUUAAUUAAAGUUUUUUUAGUAUUGUUAUGAUUUAAUUAGAGUUUAUUUAGUGUUCCAUUAGAGUUAAGAUUUUGUUGUUGCAAUUUCUAUUCUACCUUUCACAACCAAUUGCCAAAUACAUUCUCGAGCAAGACUUCACUUAUUAUAACACAAGUAAUUAUCUAUAUAUUACUACUGUCAAUUUUGUACAAUAAAGAGGUAGUGUUGUGUUUCUAAUAAGAUCAUUAUAAACCGUUGUAUAAAUUCAUAUGUUGUCGAGUUGUUGGUGUCAAUGGGACAAUGAAGAGAUGUUGGCAUAAUUGAAUGUUUAUCAAUAUUAAAGAAAAAUGGUGAAUGAUUGGUACUUAUUUUAAUACUAUCAUUCUAAGCAAAUUCUAUGUGUAUCAAAUAUUCAUCCCAAUCAUUAUGAUUAACUAUCACAAAUGUCCUUAAUAUAUCUUUCAAGGUCUAAUUUACAUACUUUAUUUGUCUAUCUAUUUGGAGAUAGAAGAUUAUAGGCAUAACAAGUUUCAUGCCUAGUAGCUUGAAUAAGACAUGCUAAAAACUUCUCAUGAAGUGUGGAUCUUGAUCUGAAAUGAUGACACAAGGUUAUCUAUAGUGAUGAAAGAGAGUAUCAAAGAAGGUCCAUACAAGGUGUUGAGGUAUCAAUAUCUAAGUAUAUCAUGACUAAGUGAAGUUACUUUGAGAGUUGAUCUACAAAGACAGCAACCACAAUGUGAUUAUGAAGCAUUUGCUGCAAAUACAUAUUAAAAUUCAUAGUCACAUACUGCUAAUAUCCUAUAAAUAAUAGAAUUGGCUAUAAUAGUUUAGGAGAUGUUGUAUUUUGUGUUUUAUUACAUUGACAUGACUUCCAAGAAUACACAAAAGCUUGAAUAUCAUAAUCCAAACUAUGUUCUUAAGAUCUGUUCUAGAGUCUUCUUUUACCUUGGAUGUCUAGAUAUUAAAAUAUCAUGUCCUUCUUGAAGUAUGCGCCUCCAAAGUAUAUCAUUGAGAGGUAUAUAAAUCUGCUUCUUGAAAUAGAACAAACCAUCAUUAAGACUGUAUUCUUGAUACUAUAUAUUAUCCACCUUCAAUUAAUUACUAACCACCUAAAAAUAAACAACUCAAUGUGUAGCUUUCUUACAUUCAACUUCUCAAAGUUAAAUUUGAAAUGACUCUAUUAAUAAUAAUAACUUCUAUCUUGUCUUCCAAUUUAGCCUUUAAGACUAGUCUCUGCAACAAGCAGUUUGGCCUAAUUUAUUGUUACCUUUGCAUAUACUCAAGCUAAAUAUCAAAAAGUUGCAACUAUUCUUUCUAACAAUAAUGUUAUGAUUUCAUAUUUUUUAAAUGCACAUUGUGUACCAAGGAUUGAUGGUCAGUCCAAAUAACCACUAGCUUUCCCAACAGAUAGUGUCACCACUUUUUUGUAGCAUGUACAAUUGCUAAUUGAUCUUGAUCACAUAUAAAGUAAUUUCGCUUUGCUCUUCUAAGCUUGCAUGAUUCAUAUGCCAGAGAUUGAAGGCCUCUUAUCAAAGGACUAUUCCAAUAUCAAAGUCGGAAGCAUCAAUGUCAAGUAUACAAGGAAGGUUAAAAUCAUAUGGUGUCGUUGUCGUAAUGUGUGAAGUCUUGCUUGAGAAUGCUCCGAGCACCUGGAUGUAGAAGGAAGAAUAGAAAUUGCGAUAACAAAAUCCUAAAUAGAAUACUAACAAUGUUCUAAUUAGACUAUAAUAAUGGUAAACAAACGUAAUCAAAUUCAAAACAACUCAAAGAAAUUUCAAUCAAACAAUAAAAUUCUUAAAGAAAUAUUAGAAUGAUCACAAAUUUUACUCAAAUAUAUGUCAAUUCAACCUUAAUUUAAUUCUAGUUAAAAUCCUAUUGAAUUUCACUCAACUUUAGACCAAACCUAAUUAAAUCUUAACCCCUAAUAAUUCCUAAACCCUAAGUCAAAUCCUAAACAAAUCUUAAAUUAAAUCCUAUUUCAAAUCCUAAAUCCUAAAUCAAAUCCUAAAUCAAACCCUAAACCAAACCCUAAUCCAACCCUAAAUCCUAAACCAAACUUUAAAUCAAAUCCUAACCAAACCCUAAUCCAAACCCUAAAUCAAACCCUAACCAAACCCUAAAUCCCAAUCCAAACCCUAAUCUAAUCCUAAACUCUAAUCCAAAUCCUAAACUCUAAACCAAACCUUAAAUCAAACCCUAACCAAACCCUAGUCCAAAUUCUAAUCCAAACCCUAAAUCAAACCCUAACCAAAUCCUAAAUCCUAAUUCAAAUCCUAAUCUAAAUCCUAAUUUAAUCCUAAAUUCUAAUCCAAAUCCUAAACCCUAAACCAAACCUUAAAUCAAACUCUAAUCAAAGCCUAAUCCAUACCCUAAUCCAAAUCCUAAAUCAAACCCUAACCAAAUCCUAGACCAUAAUCCAAACCCUAAUCCAAACCCUAAUCCAAAUCCUAGUAAUUCCUAUGACAGAUUUAAACCUCAAUAUCUAAUGAAUAAACCGUUGAUCUCAAUUCAAAAUUUGCACACUUCUUAAAAAUCAAGUUCAAAACAAGAAGAUUUUUUUUGAAAAGGAUCGGAGUUACCAAAUUGACGAAAACCUCAAAAAUGUGUUCGGGUGUUAGCCGGCCUCCUUCUCCAAUCUUGAUGCCAACCUUCCAGAGCCAAUUUCUCUUCUUUGCACCAUUCGAUUGGUUUCAAAUUUCUCAUGUAUAUAGAAAAACAAGUCUAAUAUCCUCUCACACAAGUUUUACUCCAAUCCAACUAGUAGAUUGCAUGAAAUCUUAAAAACCUUCACUAGACCUAAAAUUCUACUUUUUGAGACCUUGACUCACUUAAACCUCAAUAUCUCUCAGUUCAACCAUUAGAUCAAGC
RNAcentral lists this long non-coding RNA (11505 nucleotides) under Physcomitrium patens. Its description in RNAcentral is "long non-coding RNA (PPAT_LNC000721)". The record is from RNAcentral. Lineage: Eukaryota; Viridiplantae; Streptophyta; Bryopsida; Funariales; Funariaceae.